This 540-nucleotide ribosomal RNA is filed under the name Bifidobacterium dentium. Its description in RNAcentral is "bacterial SSU rRNA". It matches the Rfam family "Bacterial small subunit ribosomal RNA", at positions 161 to 711 of the family's 1533-position model. The record is from RNAcentral. Lineage: Bacteria; Bacillati; Actinomycetota; Actinomycetes; Bifidobacteriales; Bifidobacteriaceae.
UGGUAAUGCCGGAUGCUCCGGUUGGAUGCAUGUCCUUCCGGGAAAGAUCCAUCGGUAUGGGAUGGGGUCGCGUCCUAUCAGCUUGAUGGCGGGGUAACGGCCCACCAUGGCUUCGACGGGUAGCCGGCCUGAGAGGGCGACCGGCCACAUUGGGACUGAGAUACGGCCCAGACUCCUACGGGAGGCAGCAGUGGGGAAUAUUGCACAAUGGGCGCAAGCCUGAUGCAGCGACGCCGCGUGCGGGAUGGAGGCCUUCGGGUUGUAAACCGCUUUUGAUCGGGAGCAAGCCCUUCGGGGUGAGUGUACCUUUCGAAUAAGCACCGGCUAACUACGUGCCAGCAGCCGCGGUAAUACGUAGGGUGCAAGCGUUAUCCGGAAUUAUUGGGCGUAAAGGGCUCGUAGGCGGUUCGUCGCGUCCGGUGUGAAAGCCCAUCGCUUAACGGUGGGUCUGCGCCGGGUACGGGCGGGCUGGAGUGCGGUAGGGGAGACUGGAAUUCCCGGUGUAACGGUGGAAUGUGUAGAUAUCGGGAAAGAACACCA